UAGUAUUGGUGAUCAGAGGUUUUGCCUAUUUAUAGAAGAAAAAAAAAAAAACAUGCCUAGUCUUUGAGUAAGAUUAAGAAGGCAGAAACAUGAGGAUAUGUUGGCAUUAUAAGAUAACAUGAUAGUAUAUUGGUCAUUUCAAAAGGCUACUGGGGAGAACCCAUGAGCUUAAUUUUGAGAGUGCCUGUAGUGAGAAAAGCAUAUUCAAUGUAUGUAUGUUUGAAUUCUCAUUUCCUGUAGUAAGGAUCUUUAAUUAUCUUCAUCUUUUGUUUUUAUUAGUCCCUGAAGCUGCUCUCUAUUAUGGCUGCAAUCCGUUUGGAUGACAAGGAUGAUAAAAUCGAGACUACUCUCUCACUUGCUCUAGUAGAGUCGGUGAAUGGCAAUGUUACUGAUAGGAGCAUCAUUUCAUCUGACCCACUGGCUUCAAGCACUUAGGAAGAGGUGACAUUUGUAGCUUCUAAAACUCUUUCUUGAUGUGUUUGGCCCAUGAACUUUCUUAUUGAUCACAAAGACUUGGUAUGAAGAAGGAUAUUUCACAAUAAGGAAUGAAAAACAGCAAAGGUUUUGAUCUGUAGAGGUUUGUUGAUCCCACGUGCUUAUAUGUGUAGCCUUGCCCCUCUACAUGUCUGAACAUGUGUAUGGUGCACAUGUUGUGGACAUCCAAGCUGUCCAUCAUUCCAUCCCCUAUAGGGAGCUUUAUCGUGUUUCCAUGAUCUCUGUAUAGGUGGGGACUAUUUUGAAAUGUUACUUACAACCGACUUCGGCUGUUCUACAAGUUACCCCAUAUGUAAAGAAGGAGCUUAUCAUGACCACUUUUCAGACAGUGGGAAGGAUGGUAUUGAUGUGUGGAGAUGGGACCAAUGAUGUUGGGGCUCUAAAGCAGGUAUUAAUGCCCCUCUUUCACAUAGUUGUUUUUAUCUUAUUAUCCAUUAAUUUGUAGGCUGCUAAUUGAGUCCAUUUGUUUGAAAUCUGAACCACAGUUUGUUGGCCCAUUU
This is a long non-coding RNA of Magnolia sinica, 995 nucleotides long. RefSeq lists it as uncharacterized. NCBI's taxonomy places the organism in Eukaryota, Viridiplantae, Streptophyta, Magnoliopsida, Magnoliales, Magnoliaceae. The transcript is spliced from 3 exons. The record is from RefSeq and is a predicted model, not a curated record.